This 624-nucleotide ribosomal RNA is filed under the name Candidatus Uhrbacteria bacterium. RNAcentral describes it as "bacterial SSU rRNA". It matches the Rfam family "Bacterial small subunit ribosomal RNA", at positions 894 to 1533 of the family's 1533-position model. Lineage: Bacteria; Candidatus Uhriibacteriota. The record is from RNAcentral.
CUAAAACUCAAAGGAAUAGACGGGGACCCGCACAAGCGGAGGAGCAUGUGGUUUAAUUCGAUGAUAAGCGAGGAACCUUACCUGGGCUUGAAAGACAUCUGCAAGCCGUCCGAAAGGAUGGCCGCCUUCGAGGGUGGUGUCUAGGUGCUGCAUGGUUGCCGUCAGCUCGUGUCGUGAGAUGUACCGUUAAGUCGGAUAACGAGCGCAACCCCUAUUCCGUGUUGUAUUUCACGGGAGACUGCCCCGGAUAACGGGGAGGAAGGUGGGGAUGACGUCAAAUCAGCAUGGCUCUUACGUCCAGGGCUACACACGUGCUACAAUGGCUACGACAAAGGGUUGCCAAGCCGUAAGGCGGAGCUAAUCCCAACAAACGUAGCCUCAGUUCGGAUUGAGGGCUGAAAUUCGCCCUCAUGAAGUCGGAUUCGCUAGUAAAUGCAUAUCAGCCACGAUGCAUUGAAUACGUUCUCGGGUCUUGUACUCACCGCCCGUCACGUCAAGAGAGUCGGAAAUACCCGAAGGCCCCGAUGAGGGGACGAAGGUAGAGCCGGCGAUAGGGACGAAGUCGUAACAAGGCAUCCGUAGCGGAAGCUGUGGAUGGAUCACCUCCUUUCUAGGGAGUAACUU